CGCCCUCCGCGCGACUCCCUGCCCACCAGCCACCAUGUCCGACCCUGCGGUCAACGCACAGCUGGACGGGAUCAUUUCAGACUUCGAAGCCUUGAAGGAGAUCUUU
Molecule: long non-coding RNA, 106 nt
Organism: Octodon degus (degu)
Lineage: Eukaryota; Metazoa; Chordata; Mammalia; Rodentia; Octodontidae
Exons: 3
Source: RefSeq, a predicted model, not a curated record